Small nuclear RNA from Heterocephalus glaber (naked mole-rat), 117 nucleotides. Its record names the gene U2. It matches the Rfam family "U2 spliceosomal RNA". From Rfam's summary of the family: U2 is a small nuclear RNA (snRNA) component of the spliceosome (involved in pre-mRNA splicing). Complementary binding between U2 snRNA (in an area lying towards the 5' end but 3' to hairpin I) and the branchpoint sequence (BPS) of the intron results the bulging out of an unpaired adenosine, on the BPS, which initiates a nucleophilic attack at the intronic 5' splice site, thus starting the first of two transesterification reactions that mediate splicing. Lineage: Eukaryota; Metazoa; Chordata; Mammalia; Rodentia; Bathyergidae. The record is from Ensembl.
AUCUCUUCUCGGCCUUUUGGCUAAGAUCAAGUGUAAUAAUUGUUAUCAUGACAAUUAUUUCCUUCAUUUUAAUUUUGAAAUAAAAAUAUUACAUCCUUUUUUUCAUGGUAAAUUAUC